RNAcentral lists this ribosomal RNA (497 nucleotides) under uncultured bacterium. RNAcentral describes it as "partial 16S ribosomal RNA". It matches the Rfam family "Bacterial small subunit ribosomal RNA", at positions 28 to 507 of the family's 1533-position model. The record is from RNAcentral.
GACGAACGCUGGCGGCGUGCCUAAUACAUGCAAGUAGAACGCUGAAGAGAGGAGCCUCCUCUUCUUGGAUGAGUUGCGAACGGGUGAGUAACGCGUAGGUAACCUGCCUUGUAGCGGGGGAUAACUAUUGGAGACGAUAGCUAAUACCGCAUAACAAUGGAUGACACAUGUCAUUUAUUUGAAAGGGGCAAUUGCUCCACUACAAGAUGGACCUGCGUUGUAUUAGCUAGUAGGUGAGGUAAUGGCUCACCUAGGCGACGAUACAUAGCCGACCUGAGAGGGUGAUCGGCCACACUGGGACUGAGACACGGCCCAGACUCCUACGGGAGGCAGCAGUAGGGAAUCUUCGGCAAUGGGGGCAACCCUGACCGAGCAACGCCGCGUGAGUGAAGAAGGUUUUCGGAUCGUAAAGCUCUGUUGUAAGUCAAGAACGGGUGUGAGAGUGGAAAGUUCACACUGUGACGGUAGCUUACCAGAAAGGGACGGCUAACUACGUG